This 497-nucleotide ribosomal RNA is filed under the name uncultured bacterium. Its description in RNAcentral is "partial 16S ribosomal RNA". It matches the Rfam family "Bacterial small subunit ribosomal RNA", at positions 28 to 507 of the family's 1533-position model. The record is from RNAcentral.
GAUGAACGCUGGCGGCGUGCCUAAUACAUGCAAGUCGAGCGAACAGACGAGGAGUUUGCUCCUCUGACGUUAGCGGCGGACGGGUGAGUAACACGUGGAUAACCUACCUAUAAGACUGGGAUAACUUCGGGAAACCGGAGCUAAUACCGGAUAAUAUAUUGAACCGCAUGGUUCAAUAGUGAAAGACGGUUUUGCUGUCACUUAUAGAUGGAUCCGCGCCGCAUUAGCUAGUUGGUAAGGUAACGGCUUACCAAGGCAACGAUGCGUAGCCGAUCUGAGAGGGUGAUCAGCCACACUGGAACUGAGACACGGUCCAGACUCCUACGGGAGGCAGCAGUAGGGAAUCUUCCGCAAUGGGCGAAAGCCUGACGGAGCAACGCCGCGUGAGUGAUGAAGGUCUUCGGAUCGUAAAGCUCUGUUAUUAGGGAAGAACAAAUGUAUAAGAAACUAUGCACGUCUUGACGGUACCUAAUCAGAAAGUCACGGCUAACUACGUG